This 303-nucleotide unclassified non-coding RNA is filed under the name Komagataella phaffii. RNAcentral describes it as "sequence contains 18S rRNA gene, ITS1, 5.8S rRNA gene, ITS2, 28S rRNA gene". The record is from RNAcentral. Lineage: Eukaryota; Fungi; Ascomycota; Pichiomycetes; Pichiales; Pichiaceae.
GAUCAUAAAGAAGCUUCGGCGCUAGCCGGAGCGCACUUACACACUGAGUAUAACUUCUAGGVUAAUACACAUACACAAACACAGAUUACUAAAUCUCCUCCCAACGGAUCUCUUGGCUCUCGCGACGAUGAAGAACGCAGCGAUCCGCGAUACGUCCUGGAAGCCGCCGUGAACCAUCAAUUUUCGAACGCACAUUGCAUACAGGGAGGGUGGGGUGAGUCUACUCUCACUAUCGUGGUUUAAAUACAAAGGAUGACUAAUACAAUCGUCAGCCCCCAAAUUUUCUCCCCCGCCCCCUCAGAU